RNAcentral lists this transfer RNA (74 nucleotides) under Solitalea koreensis. It matches the Rfam family "tRNA". From Rfam's summary of the family: Transfer RNA (tRNA) molecules are approximately 80 nucleotides in length. Their secondary structure includes four short double-helical elements and three loops (D, anti-codon, and T loops). The record is from Rfam by way of RNAcentral. Lineage: Bacteria; Pseudomonadati; Bacteroidota; Sphingobacteriia; Sphingobacteriales; Sphingobacteriaceae.
GGGGGUUUAGCUCAGCUGGCUAGAGUACUUGCCUGGCAGGCAAGGGGUCACCGGUUCGAAUCCGGUAAUCUCCA